This 2305-nucleotide long non-coding RNA is filed under the name Homo sapiens (human). Its description in RNAcentral is "non-protein coding LINC00839:1". Lineage: Eukaryota; Metazoa; Chordata; Mammalia; Primates; Hominidae. The record is from RNAcentral.
GAUAUCUAGUUAAAUAAGUCAUUAUAAAUAGUUGCUCCGUGGGCUUUCCGCAUUUCACCCUGCUCCAGGCAGCGUGGUCUGUAUGGCUCCGCCCUGGGCAGGAGGAGAAAGAAGAGGGCCAGGCACCACGUGCCUGCACUCUCCCUGGAUGCUGGAGGCUGCUCCGCCGUGGGCAGGAGGAGAAGGAAGAGAACUGGGUGCCGCCUGCCUGCACUCUCUCCGGAUGCUGGAGGCUGGAGGCAGUGAGGCAGCAACAGCGCGAGGGCGAGGCGACUUUGGAGCUGCCUCAUGCAGCGACCUCGCCUUCCGCUGCGCCUCCUCCCAGAACCCAAGAAGCCUGGAACCUGUGGCGUCCAGCCCUGAAAGGAGGAGACGGCAACCCAGCCGCGCUUUUGCCUGCACUCUCCCUGGAUGCUGGAGGCUGGAGGCAGUGACGCAGCAACAGCGCGAGGCGACUUUGGAGCGGCCUCAUAUAGCGACCUCGCCUUCCGCUGCGCGUCCUCCCAGAGCCCAAGAAGCCCGGAACCUGUGGCAUCCAUCUCUGAAAGGAGAAGACGGCAACCCAGCCGAGGCACUACUGGGUUGGGGUCUCCACGACCGAGCUGGUCUCAUCAAGUGGCGUCCAACAAGGGGCUCAAACCCGGGUUGAGGGGUUGCUGGAGCGACGGAGAACGUGGAACUACACUGGAGGACACCAGAGUACUCUUAAGCAAUCCCUUGGCCAAAACCAGCAACUGAUUUGGAUACCAUCAAGACACCUGAAAUCUUGUCAUGAGCCAGAUACUGAGGAAGAGAUUUUGGGAAGAACCCAAGGACCCCCCAGUUGCAGCCAUGUCAAGACUGACAAUAAGGAAGACAUCAGUCCCAGCAAGCAACAUUCAUCGGGCACAGCCACCCAUGUGGGGCCAGAUCAAGAAGUUGACACAGAUGGCGGAAGAAAAUCUGAAGAAAGCGGAUGACCAGCUACAAUGAGUAAUCUAAUGUCUGCAGAUGUGGAUCCCGAAUCCUGCGAGAAGUAGCCCACCAUGACGAAGCUGCCUUUGCUUUUAUCGCUUUGCAAAAACAGAAAAGGGGACAUGCUGGGAACAGGCCCUAAGCCUGUCAUAAACAGGCCUUAAACUGACCAUGAACAGGAUUUCUGCACGAAUGUGACGUGCUCCUGAUGGCUAUGACGCCCACUGCUAGAAGUUGUUAGUUUACUGGAGCAGGGUAGGGAACACCUGGCCCACCCGGAGCGGAAAACUGCUCAAACCACAAACAACAGCAUGAGUGGCCUGAGCCUUAACAACAUGUUUUUGCUGCAGAUAAUCGGCCAGAGACUGUUUCUCUACUCCUCUCUAAGUAUGCUUUGUUUUUCGUAAGGAAUGCUUUUAGCUAAUCUGUAACCUAUAGAAACAAUGCUUAUCACUGGCUUGCUGUCAAUAAACAUGUGGGUCAAACUCUGUUUGUGGCUCUCAGCUCUCAAGGCUGUUUUCCCCCUGAUUCCCACUUUGCACUUUAUUUCUGUGUGUUUGUCUUCAUUCCUCUAGCACCACUGGGUUGGGGUCUCCUUGACCAAGCUGGUCUCGGCACAUAUGCAUGUAUGCCCAGGUCCUGAAAUCAGCCUUGUGGAGCCUGUGGGUAGGAAAAGUCAACCCUCUGUGCAUGUAGGCCUGGAACCUGACCAAUACUGUAUUUUCCUACCACGUUUGGUUUCAAAUGUGGAAACUGCCCAUACGGACCUACUGCAUUUGUUUUUAAAAAUCCUCUGUAAGUGGACCUGCACAGUUCAGGCCCAGAUUGUUCCAGGAUCAACCCUACAGUAGAAAUCAAGUAUCUUUUUCAUUGUCUCUUGGGAUCUGCCUUUUCACCAAUAAAAUAUGAGGGCUGUUGGGAGCAGGCCCCCCCAAAUCUGGCCAUAAACUGUCCCCAAAACUGGCCAUAAACAAAAUCUCUGCAGCACUAUAACAUGUUCAUAAUGGCCAUAACGCCCAAGUUGGAAGGUUGUGGAUUUACAGGAAUGAGGGCAAGGAACACCUGGCCUGCCCAGGGUGGAAAACCACUUAAAGGCAUUCUUAAGCCACAAACAAUAGCAUGAGUGAUCUGUGCCUUAAGAACAUGCUCCUGCUGCAGUUAACUAGCCCAACAUAUUCCUUUAAUUCAGUCCAUCCCUUCGUUUCCCAUAAGGGAUACUUUUAGUUAAUUUAAUAUCUAUAGAAAGAAUGCUAAUGACUGGUUUGCUGUUAAUAAAUACGUGGGUAAAUCUCUGUUUGGGGCUCUCAACUCUGAAGGCUGUGAGACCCCUGAUUUCCCACUUGACACCUCU